Molecule: ribosomal RNA, 465 nt
Filed under: Vreelandella stevensii
Lineage: Bacteria; Pseudomonadati; Pseudomonadota; Gammaproteobacteria; Oceanospirillales; Halomonadaceae
Description: partial 16S ribosomal RNA
Rfam family: Bacterial small subunit ribosomal RNA
Source: RNAcentral
CCUACGGGGGGCAGCAGUGGGGAAUAUUGGACAAUGGGCGAAAGCCUGAUCCAGCCAUGCCGCGUGUGUGAAGAAGGCCUUCGGGUUGUAAAGCACUUUCAGUGGGGAAGAAAGCCUUGGGGCUAAUACCCUCGAGGAAGGACAUCACCAACAGAAGAAGCACCGGCUAACUCCGUGCCAGCAGCCGCGGUAAUACGGAGGGUGCGAGCGUUAAUCGGAAUUACUGGGCGUAAAGCGCGCGUAGGCGGUCUGAUAAGCCGGUUGUGAAAGCCCCGGGCUCAACCUGGGAACGGCAUCCGGAACUGUCAGGCUAGAGUGCAGUAGAGGAAGGUAGAAUUCCCGGAGUAGCAGUGAAAUGCGUAGAGAUCGGGAGGAAUACCAGUGGCGAAGGCGGCCUUCUGGACUGACACUGACGCUGAGGUGCGAAAGCGUGGGUAGCAAACAGGAUUAGAUACCCCUGUAGUC